GGAAGGAUGACCGAGUGGUUAAGGUGUGUGACUCAAGCGGAUUCUGCUUUCUUGCUUACAAAGCGAGGUUUCUCAUGGGCCUAGCCCGCGGGGGUUCGAAUCCCCCUCCUUUCA
Molecule: transfer RNA, 114 nt
Filed under: Morchella conica CCBAS932
Lineage: Eukaryota; Fungi; Ascomycota; Pezizomycetes; Pezizales; Morchellaceae
Rfam family: tRNA
About the family: Transfer RNA (tRNA) molecules are approximately 80 nucleotides in length. Their secondary structure includes four short double-helical elements and three loops (D, anti-codon, and T loops). Further hydrogen bonds mediate the characteristic L-shaped molecular structure. tRNAs have two regions of fundamental functional importance: the anti-codon, which is responsible for specific mRNA codon recognition, and the 3' end, to which the tRNAs corresponding amino acid is attached (by aminoacyl-tRNA synthetases). tRNAs cope with the degeneracy of the genetic code in two manners: having more than one tRNA (with a specific anti-codon) for a particular amino acid; and 'wobble' base-pairing, i.e. permitting non-standard base-pairing at the 3rd anti-codon position.
Source: Rfam by way of RNAcentral